CCUACGGGAGGCUGCAGUGAGGAAUAUUGGUCAAUGGGCGCUAGCCUGAACCAGCCAAGUAGCGUGAAGGAUGACUGCCCUAUGGGUUGUAAACUUCUUUUAUAUGGGAAUAAAGUGCAGUAUGUAUACUGCUUUGCAUGUACCUUAUGAAUAAGGAUCGGCUAACUCCGUGCCAGCAGCCGCGGUCAUACGGAGGAUGCGAGCGUUAUCCGGAUUUAUUGGGUUUAAAGGGUGCGCAGGCGGCGAGUUAAGUCAGGGGUAAAAUUUCGGGGCCCAACCCCGACAAGCCGUUGAAACUGGCUUGCUAGAGGGGGCGAGAAGUAUGCGGAAUGCGGGGUGUAGCGGUGAAAUGCAUAGAUAUCACGCAGAACUCCGAUUGCGAAGGCAGCAUACCGGCGCCCAACUGACGCUCAGGCACGAAAGCGUGGGUAUCGAACAGGAUUAGAUACCCUGGUAGUC
Molecule: ribosomal RNA, 459 nt
Filed under: uncultured bacterium
Lineage: Bacteria
Description: partial 16S ribosomal RNA
Rfam family: Bacterial small subunit ribosomal RNA
Source: RNAcentral